This 373-nucleotide ribosomal RNA is filed under the name uncultured organism. RNAcentral's name for it is "partial 16S ribosomal RNA". It matches the Rfam family "Bacterial small subunit ribosomal RNA", at positions 527 to 896 of the family's 1533-position model. The record is from RNAcentral.
GUAGGUGGCAAGCGUUGUCCGGAAAUUAUUGGGCGUAAAGCGCGCGCAGGUGGGUUCUUUAAGUCUGAUGUGAAAGCCCCCGGGCUCAACCGGGGAGGUCAUUGGAAACUGGGGAACUUGAGUGCAGGAGAGGAAAGUGGAAUUCCACGUGUAGCGGUGAAAUGCGUAGAUAUGUGGAGGAACACCAGUGGCGAAGGCGACUUUCUGGCCUGUAACUGACACUGAGGCGCGAAAGCGUGGGGAGCAAACAGGAUUAGAUACCCUGGUAGUCCACGCCGUAAACGAUGAGUGCUAAGUGUUGGGGGGUUUCCGCCCCUCAGUGCUGCAGCUAACGCAUUAAGCACUCCGCCUGGGGAGUACGGUCGCAAGACUG